This 396-nucleotide ribosomal RNA is filed under the name Triticum aestivum (bread wheat). Its description in RNAcentral is "partial small subunit ribosomal RNA". Lineage: Eukaryota; Viridiplantae; Streptophyta; Magnoliopsida; Poales; Poaceae. The record is from RNAcentral.
CUAGUUGGGGGCGACUUCAACAUGAUCGCGUGCGUCGAGGACAAGAACAACGAGAACCUGCACCGGGCAACCAUGCGCCACUUUAGAAACUUCAUCGCCGACGAGGAGCUCCAGGAUAUCUACCUACACGGCCGACGCUACACCUGGUCGAACGAGCGCGAGGCGUCGACCCUUGAGCGCAUUGACCGCGUCCUCUGCACUGUCGGCUGGGCGACCGAUCACCCUAGCUGCAUGCUGCGCUGCUUGUCAUCCGCGGCAUCUGAUCAUGCGCUCCUAAGCCAGACCCGUUCUGUCGCAUGUUCGCGAGGCUGCGUGCCACUGCCAAGUGCCUGCAGCGUUGGAGCUCCAAGACGAUGGGAGACGUCUCGCUGCAGCUGUCCAUCGCCCGUGAGCUGA